RNAcentral lists this ribosomal RNA (278 nucleotides) under uncultured bacterium. Its description in RNAcentral is "partial 16S ribosomal RNA". It matches the Rfam family "Bacterial small subunit ribosomal RNA", at positions 233 to 501 of the family's 1533-position model. The record is from RNAcentral.
AUGGCCCAUCAGCUAGUUGGUAGGUAAAGGCCGUUACCAAGGCUACGACGGGUCGCUGGUCUGAGAGGACGACCAGCCACACUGGCACUGAGAUACGGGCCAGACUCCUACGGGAGGCAGCAGUGAGGAAUAUUGCGCUAAUGGGGGAAACCCUGACGCAGCAACGCCGCGUGUGGGAAGAAGGCCUUCGGGUCGUAAACCACUUUUGCACGGGACGAAAAAGGGAUAUCGAACAAAUAUCCCCGAUGACGGUACCGUGAGAAUAAGCCACGGCUAAC